Molecule: transfer RNA, 73 nt
Filed under: Bacillota bacterium
Lineage: Bacteria; Bacillati; Bacillota
Also listed under: 3 other names
Description: tRNA-Ala
Rfam family: tRNA
About the family: Transfer RNA (tRNA) molecules are approximately 80 nucleotides in length. Their secondary structure includes four short double-helical elements and three loops (D, anti-codon, and T loops). Further hydrogen bonds mediate the characteristic L-shaped molecular structure. tRNAs have two regions of fundamental functional importance: the anti-codon, which is responsible for specific mRNA codon recognition, and the 3' end, to which the tRNAs corresponding amino acid is attached (by aminoacyl-tRNA synthetases). tRNAs cope with the degeneracy of the genetic code in two manners: having more than one tRNA (with a specific anti-codon) for a particular amino acid; and 'wobble' base-pairing, i.e. permitting non-standard base-pairing at the 3rd anti-codon position.
Source: RNAcentral
GGGGAUAUAGCUCAGUUGGGAGAGUGCUUGAAUGGCAUUCAAGAGGCCAGGGGUUCGAGACCCCUUAUCUCCA